Pogona vitticeps (central bearded dragon) is the source of this 525-nucleotide non-coding RNA. Lineage: Eukaryota; Metazoa; Chordata; Lepidosauria; Squamata; Agamidae. The record is from RefSeq and is a predicted model, not a curated record.
CCUGCCGGCUGAAGACCUCCGGCGUCUGCUGGAUCUCAUCACCGGUUGCCUGUUCCCAAUCCCCUGGAGCGCCUGAAAAAGAGGACCAGGACGGAGCAGGAGGCUUCCGAUAUAGAGCUGAUGGAGCCCUGGCUGACACGAUCAGAGUGGAUCCGAGAGAGGGUCCUGCAGGCCAGUUGCCAGGUGCUGGCUGCCUUCCAGGCCACGGCGAGUCUUCCGGAGGAUCCCUUCCAGAACAGAUCUUAGAGGACAGGUUGGUCCUCCGGCUUUCCGAGGCCCUUUCAAUAGGUUUUGUACUUUUCUUGGUAAGAUGGAGAAAAUCUGAAAGCCUAUGGUGCCCGGGUGGCCUUCCUAGCCCCAUAUACCUGGGAGAGCUCCAUUGAGUGCCGGCGAUGGGCGGCCAAGGGCAUCACCCACUUGAUCUGCAUUCAAGGUGAGAACGUUGGCGGUGGAGAUGGGAUCCAUUUAUAAAUGUUGGGUAUGACCCCCUUCCAAGAACGGAGGGCUUCAAGGCAUAUCAGUGGA